AGUAUUAUAUUUUAUAAAAAUUUUAAAUUGCAAGUUUAAAGAUAGGAAUAUUAUUCCUUAAUACUU
This 66-nucleotide transfer RNA is filed under the name Nebrioporus canaliculatus. RNAcentral's name for it is "tRNA-Cys". The record is from RNAcentral. Lineage: Eukaryota; Metazoa; Arthropoda; Insecta; Coleoptera; Dytiscidae.